GGCUCGGUAGCUUAGUUGGUAAAGCGCUCGUCUAGCAUACAAGUGUCCUGGGUUCGAAUCCCAGCCGAGCAC
This 72-nucleotide transfer RNA is filed under the name Aedes aegypti (yellow fever mosquito). RNAcentral describes it as "tRNA AAEL018953". It matches the Rfam family "tRNA". From Rfam's summary of the family: Transfer RNA (tRNA) molecules are approximately 80 nucleotides in length. Their secondary structure includes four short double-helical elements and three loops (D, anti-codon, and T loops). Further hydrogen bonds mediate the characteristic L-shaped molecular structure. tRNAs have two regions of fundamental functional importance: the anti-codon, which is responsible for specific mRNA codon recognition, and the 3' end, to which the tRNAs corresponding amino acid is attached (by aminoacyl-tRNA synthetases). tRNAs cope with the degeneracy of the genetic code in two manners: having more than one tRNA (with a specific anti-codon) for a particular amino acid; and 'wobble' base-pairing, i.e. permitting non-standard base-pairing at the 3rd anti-codon position. The record is from Rfam by way of RNAcentral. Lineage: Eukaryota; Metazoa; Arthropoda; Insecta; Diptera; Culicidae.